RNAcentral lists this ribosomal RNA (253 nucleotides) under uncultured bacterium. RNAcentral's name for it is "partial 16S ribosomal RNA". It matches the Rfam family "Bacterial small subunit ribosomal RNA", at positions 524 to 776 of the family's 1533-position model. The record is from RNAcentral.
AACGUAGGAGGCGAGCGUUAUCCGGAUUCACUGGGCGUAAAGCGCGUGCAGGCGGUUUGGUAAGUUGGGCGUGAAAACUCCUAGCUCAACUGGGAGAGGUCGUCCAAAACUACCAGACUAGAGAGCGAUAGAGGAAAAUGGAAUUCCCGGUGUAGUGGUGAAAUGCGUAGAUAUCGGGAGGAACACCAGUGGCGAAGGCGAUUUUCUGGAUCGUUUCUGACGCUCAGACGCUAAAGCUAGGGUAGCAAACGGG